GUGCUUGCUUUGGGAGCAUGUAUACUACAAUUGACAUGAUAUAGAGAAGAAUAGCAUGGCCCCUACACAAGGAUGCCAUGCAAAUCUAUGAAGCAUUCCAUAUUUUU
Small nuclear RNA from Mastomys coucha (southern multimammate mouse), 107 nucleotides. Lineage: Eukaryota; Metazoa; Chordata; Mammalia; Rodentia; Muridae. The record is from RefSeq and is a predicted model, not a curated record.